This 449-nucleotide ribosomal RNA is filed under the name uncultured bacterium. RNAcentral's name for it is "bacterial SSU rRNA". It matches the Rfam family "Bacterial small subunit ribosomal RNA", at positions 29 to 524 of the family's 1533-position model. The record is from RNAcentral.
AACGAACGCUGGCGGCAUGCCUAACACAUGCAAGUCGAACGAAGCCUUCGGGCUUAGUGGCGCACGGGUGCGUAACGCGUGGGAAUCUGCCCCUCGGUUCGGAAUAACAGUUAGAAAUGACUGCUAAUACCGGAUGAUGACGAAAGUCCAAAGAUUUAUCGCCGAGGGAUGAGCCCGCGUAGGAUUAGCUUGUUGGUGGGUAAUGGCCCACCAAGGCGACGAUCCUUAGCUGGUCUGAGAGGAUGAUCAGCCACACUGGGACUGAGACACGGCCCAGACUCCUACGGGAGGCAGCAGUGGGGAAUGUUGGACAAUGGGCGAAAGCCUGAUCCAGCAAUGCCGCGUGAGUGAUGAAGGCCUUAGGGUUGUAAAGCUCUUUUACCAGGGAUGAUAAUGACAGUACCUGGAGAAUAAGCUCCGGCUAACUCCGUGCCAGCAGCCGCGGUAAU